AGAAGUAACCUCGACCAACACCUUGUGUGAAGGUCGGAUGUGGGAGUUCUGCUGUUACUUUGUAGCGGCUCUCCCUAAAUGUCUUAGCUAGUUGGUGAUGGACAACUGUUGGCUUGAUAUAAUGUCUAUGCUACGGUCGCUCAUGUCCCAAAGCUUAUAACUGUCUUCGGACAACUUCUUUCAAU
RNAcentral lists this unclassified non-coding RNA (185 nucleotides) under uncultured Agaricomycetes. RNAcentral's name for it is "sequence contains ITS2". Lineage: Eukaryota; Fungi; Basidiomycota; Agaricomycetes. The record is from RNAcentral.